RNAcentral lists this ribosomal RNA (491 nucleotides) under uncultured bacterium. RNAcentral's name for it is "partial 16S ribosomal RNA". It matches the Rfam family "Bacterial small subunit ribosomal RNA", at positions 29 to 507 of the family's 1533-position model. The record is from RNAcentral.
AGUGAACGCUGGCGGUAGGCCUAACACAUGCAAGUCGAACGGCAGCACAGUAGAGCUUGCUCUUACGGGUGGCGAGUGGCGGACGGGUGAGGAAUACAUCGGAAUCUACUUUUUCGUGGGGGAAAACGUAGGGAAACUUACGCUAAUACCGCAUACGACCUACGGGUGAAAGCAGGGGAUCUUCGGACCUUGCGCGAUUGAAUGAGCCGAUGUCGGAUUAGCUAGUCGGCGGGGUAAAGGCCCACCAAGGCGACGAUCCGUAGCUGGUCUGAGAGGAUGAUCAGCCACACUGGAACUGAGACACGGUCCAGACUCCUACGGGAGGCAGCAGUGGGGAAUAUUGGACAAUGGGCGCAAGCCUGAUCCAGCCAUACCGCGUGGGUGAAGAAGGCCUUCGGGUUGUAAAGCCCUUUUGUUGGGAAAGAAAAGCAGCAGGUUAAUACCCCGCUGUUCUGACGGUACCCAAAGAAUAAGCACCGGCUAACUUCGUG